CCUACGGGUGGCAGCAGUGGGGAAUAUUGCACAAUGGGGGAAACCCUGAUGCAGCGACGCCGCGUGAGUGAAGAAGUAUCUCGGUACGUAAAGCUCUAUCAGCAGGGAAGAAAAUUACGAUACCUGACUAAGAAGCCCCGGCUAACUACGUGCCAGCAGCCGCGGUAAGACGUAGGGGGCAAGCGUUAUCCGGAUUUAUGGGGUUUAGGGGGUGCGUAGGCGGGCAUUUAAGCCGGCGGUAAACUGUCGGGGCUCAACCCCGGCCUGCCGUCGGAACUGGGUGCCUUGAGUGGGCGAGAAGUAUGCGGAAUGCGUGGUGUAGCGGUGAAAUGCAGAGAUAUCACGCAGAACACCGAUUGCGAAGGCAGCAUACCGGCGCCCUACUGACGCUGAGGCACGAAAGUGCGGGUAUCGAACAGGAUUAGAUACCCUGGUAGUC
RNAcentral lists this ribosomal RNA (439 nucleotides) under uncultured bacterium. RNAcentral's name for it is "partial 16S ribosomal RNA". It matches the Rfam family "Bacterial small subunit ribosomal RNA", at positions 338 to 795 of the family's 1533-position model. The record is from RNAcentral.